RNAcentral lists this long non-coding RNA (571 nucleotides) under Struthio camelus australis. Its description in RNAcentral is "lncRNA (ENSSCUG00000008179.1)". Lineage: Eukaryota; Metazoa; Chordata; Aves; Struthioniformes; Struthionidae. The record is from RNAcentral.
AGCCUGCAAAGGUUUUCCGUUUGUUUGGGGUUUUUUUGUUUUUGUUCCUGGGCAGCUCACUUGCAUUUCACAAAGGAGGCUUGGUCGUGGCUGCAGUGAUGAGCGUGGCAGGGUCAAAUCCAUGGGACAUCUGGGGCUGGCUCUUCAUGGCAAUGAUAGGUUUGCCAAGCUCUGUUUCAAGCACAAAUUGCUCUGGCUGCGAUUCCCCAACUCAGCACUGACCUUCCAGCUGUUCCCUCCCUUCCUGCUCGGAUGGAGAGGUAUCAAUGUUCAUUACUAACAACCUCGCCGUCAGCCCUUCAAAAUCGUCUUCCUAGCCACGUCCUUCACUUAUUAUUUUUAUUCCUUUUUUUUUUUCAGAGCAUGUGGCCUUUAAAGUGAGAUUUUCUUUGGUUAGCAAUAAUUCAGUUAAUAUUUCCUCUGGGGAUGGCAGGCUGUGGAAAGGGAGCAGUGGCAGAGUGCUGAAAACAGGCUCCCAGGGGAGGUUGCUGGCCUUUUUGGGAAGCCACGUGCCGGGCGGCCGGGCGGGCUCGUUCUGGAUGUGCAGCGAGUGCACUGGGCUCCCGUUCCC